Molecule: unclassified non-coding RNA, 267 nt
Filed under: Hevea brasiliensis (rubber tree)
Lineage: Eukaryota; Viridiplantae; Streptophyta; Magnoliopsida; Malpighiales; Euphorbiaceae
Source: RNAcentral
AUGGGUCAGGUCCUUGCCAAUUUAUUAUCAACACCACUAGCUUCGAGUGACGGGGAGGAGUUGCAAUACGUUGCUUUUGAUCUAGAUCCUUCUGUUGUAAAGGCUUCUACAAAACUUGGUUUUCCUGUUAUCUAUGGUGAUGGUUCACGUCCUGCAGUGCUGCAGUCUGCUGGAAUAUCUUCUCCGAAAGCAGUUAUGGUCAUGUACAGAGGAAAAGAAAGGACCACAGAAGCUGUCCAGAGAAUUCGACUAGCCUUCCCAGCGGUA